CCCUUAGAUGUUCUGGGCCGCACGCGCGCUACACUGACGAUGGCAACGAGUUUUUCCUUCGCCGAAAGGUGUGGGUAAUCUUUUGAAACAUCGUCGUGCUGGGGAUAGAUCAUUGCAAUUUUUGAUCUUGAACGAGGAAUUCCUAGUAAGCGCGAGUCAUCAGCUCGCGUUGAUUACGUCCCUGCCCUUUGUACACACCGCCCGUCGCUACUACCGAUUGAAUGGUUUAGUGAGGACUCCUGAUUGGCGCCGCCGCCCCGGCAACGGAGCAGCGGACUGCCGAAAAGUGGUUCAAACUUGAUCAUUUAGAGGAAGUAAAAGUCGUAACA
Molecule: ribosomal RNA, 329 nt
Filed under: uncultured eukaryote
Lineage: Eukaryota
Description: partial 18S ribosomal RNA
Rfam family: Eukaryotic small subunit ribosomal RNA
Source: RNAcentral